UAGCCCCGUAAUCUAGUGGUGAGGAUCUUGGACUCUGAAUACAGUAGUCCGAGAUCAAAUCUUGGCGGGGCCUACG
Non-coding RNA from Marchantia paleacea, 76 nucleotides. The record is from the annotation of a GenBank genome assembly. Lineage: Eukaryota; Viridiplantae; Streptophyta; Marchantiopsida; Marchantiales; Marchantiaceae.